AGCAGCCGCGGUAAUUCCAGCUCCAAUAGCGUAUAUUAAAGUUGUUGCAGUUAAAAAGCUCGUAGUUGAAUUUCGGGGUUAGUAGGUUGGUCAUGCCUCUGGUAUGUACUGGUCUCACUGAUUCCUCCUUCCUGAUGAGCCGUAAUGCCAUUAAUUUGGUGUUGCGGGGAAUUUGGACUGUUACUUUGAAAAAAUUAGAGUGUUUAAAGCAAGCUAACGCUUGAAUACAUUAGCAUGGAAUAAUGAAAUAGGACGUUCGAUCCUAUUUUGUUGGUUUCUAGGAUUGACGUAAUGAUUAAUAGGGAUAGUUGGGGGCAUUAGUAUUCAAUUGUCAGAGGUGAAAUUCUUGGAUUUAUUGAAGACUAACUACUGCGAAAGCAUUUGCCAAGGAUGUUUUCAUUAAUCAAGAACGAAAGUUAGGGGAUCGAAGACGAUCAGAUACCGUCGUAGUCUUAGCCAUAAACUAUGCCGACUAGGGAUCGGAUGAUGUUAAUUUUUUAAUGACUCAUUCGGCGCCUUACG
This 522-nucleotide ribosomal RNA is filed under the name uncultured Glomeromycotina. Its description in RNAcentral is "SSU rRNA". It matches the Rfam family "Eukaryotic small subunit ribosomal RNA", at positions 569 to 1092 of the family's 1831-position model. Lineage: Eukaryota; Fungi; Glomeromycota. The record is from RNAcentral.